UGUUUUUUUUUAAUGGGAAAAAUGGGAUUGGGAACUGGGGACUGGGAUUGGGAUAAUGGGGAAAAGGGCUGGGAGAACUGGGAAUGGGAUUGGGAAUGGGAAUGGGAACUGGGAAUGGGAUUGGGACAAUUGGGAAAGGGAUUGGGAUACUGGGAAUGGGGCCGGGAUAUUGGGAAUGGGAACUGGGAAUGGGAACCAGGAAUGGGAUCGGGAACUGGGAAUGGGAUUGGGAUAAACUGGAAUGGGUUUGGGAACUGGGAUUGGGAACUGGGAUUGGGAUUGGGACAAUUGGGAAAGGGAUUGGGAUACUGGGAAUGGGGCCGGGAUAUUGUGAAUGGGGUUGGGAUAUUGGGAAUGGGGUUGGGAUAUUGGGAAUGGGAACUGGGAAUGGGAACCAGGAGUGGGGCUGGGAACUGGGAAUGGGAUUGGGAUAAACUGGAAUGGGUUUGGGAACUGGGAAUGGGAACUGGGAAUGGGAUUGGGACAAUUGGCAAUGGGAUUGGGAUACUGGGAAUGGGGCCGGGAUAUUGGGAAUGGGGCCGGGAUAUUGGGAAUGGGGUUGGGAUAUUGGGAUUGGGAACUGGGAAUGGGAACCAGGAAUGGGGCUGGGAACUGGGAAUGAGAUUGGGAUAAUCGGGAAUGGGAUUAGGAAAUGGGGAAUUGUGUUGGGAACUGGGAAUGGGAUUGGGAAAUGGGAUUGAGAUAUCGGGAAUGGGGUUGGGAUAAUUGGGAAUGGGAACUGGGAAUGGGAACCAGGAGUGGGGCUGUGAUACUGGGAAUGGGAUUGGGAACCAGGAAUUGGGGUUGGGAUAACGGGGAAUGGGGUUGGGAACUGGGAAUGAGCCUUGGGGAAAUGGGAAUGGGGUUGGGGACCAGGAAUGGAAUUGGGAUGUCAGGAAUGAGAACCGGGAAUGGGAACUGGGAAUGGGAACUGGGAUUGGGAACUGGGAAUGGGAACUGGGAAUGGGAUUGGGAUAAACUGGGAUGGGGUUGGGAACUGGGAAUGGGAAUGUUCUUGGGAACUGGGAACUGGGAACGGAUAACUGGGAAUGAGAACCAGGAAUGGGAUUGGGAUAAUCGGGAAUGGGAUUGGAGGCCUGGAGUGGGAUUGGGAACCGGGAAUGGGGCCGGGAUAAUCGGGAAUGGGAUUGGGAAUGGGGAAUGGGAUUGGGAACUGGGAAUGGGAUUGGGAACCAGGAAUUGGGGCUGGGAUCAUUGGGAAUGGGUUUGGGAUAAACUGGAAUGGGAACUGGGAAUGGGAACUGGGAUUGGGAAUUGGGAUUGGGAUUGGGAUAAACUGGAAUGGGGUUGGGAACUGGGAAUGGAAAUGUUUUUGGGAACUGGGAACGGAUAACUGGGAAUGAGAACCAGGAAUGGGAUUGGGAUAAUCAGGAAUGGGAUUGGAGGCCAGGAGUAGGAUUGGGAACCGGGAAUGGGGCCGGGAUAAUCGGGAAUGGGAUUGGGAACUGGGAAUGAGAUUGGGAACCAGGAAUUGGGGCUGGGAUAAUUGGGAAUGGGAUUGGGAUAAACUGGAAUGGGAACUGGGAAUGGGAAUUGGGAUUGGGAUAAACUGGAAUGGGGUUGGGAACUGGGAAUGGGAUUGGAAUAGGAAUAAUUGGGAAUAGGAUUGAGAUGUGGGGAAUGGGAUUGGGAUAAACUGGAAUGGGGUUGGGAAUUGGGAUUGGGAUAAACUGGAAUGGGGUUGGGAACUGGGAAUGGGAAUGUUUUUGGGAACUGGGAACUGGGAACGGAUAACUGGGAAUGAGAACCAGGAAUGGGAUUGGGAUAAUCGGGAAUGGGGCCAGGAGUGGGAUUGGGAACUGGGAAUGGGGCCGGGAUAAUCGGGAAUGGGAUUGGGAACCAGGAAUUGGGGCUGGGAUCAUUGGGAAUGGGUUUGGGAUAAACUGGAAUGGGAACUGGGAAUGGGAACUGGGAAUGGGAUUGGGAAUGGGGCCGGGAUAAACUGGAAUGGGGUUGGGAUAAACUGGAAUGGGGUUGGGAUAACGGGAACGGGCCCUGAAAUGGGGACGGAGGCCCCGGCGUUCCAAAGGGAAACUGAGGCAGGGAUCCCACAAACCCCAGUGAGGAACCUUGGGAUCACCCAGGGGGGAACCACGGGAUCCAAACGUUCCCAACAUUCCCAAAAAUCCCCCGAAUCCACAGGGAUUGAAAAACCCAAAUAGCAACAAAAAAACCCCAAAAAUGCCACAAAAAAAAAAAAAUCCCAAAUCCUGCAAAAAAUCCCAAAUCCCCCCCAAAAUCCCAAAUCCCACCAAAAAAUAAUGGUAAAUCUGGCAAAAAAAUCCCAAAUCCAUAAAAAAACCCCCAAUUCCACCAAAAAGUCC
Molecule: long non-coding RNA, 2345 nt
Filed under: Zonotrichia albicollis (white-throated sparrow)
Lineage: Eukaryota; Metazoa; Chordata; Aves; Passeriformes; Passerellidae
Description: lncRNA (ENSZALG00000000653.1)
Source: RNAcentral